AUGUACCACGCGCACGCUGCGACGCUGGGCGCGCUGUCCACACCCACCUGACGAAUGCUCGCUACGUUUAAUUACAC
RNAcentral lists this small RNA (77 nucleotides) under Xanthomonas bromi. RNAcentral describes it as "sX9 sRNA". It matches the Rfam family "Xanthomonas sRNA sX9". Lineage: Bacteria; Pseudomonadati; Pseudomonadota; Gammaproteobacteria; Lysobacterales; Lysobacteraceae. The record is from RNAcentral.